CCUACGGGAGGCAGCAGUGGGGAAUAUUGGGCAAUGGAGGCAACUCUGACCCAGCAACGCCGCGUGAAUGAUGAAGGUCUUCGGAUUGUAAAGUUCUUUUCUAAGGGAAGAAGAAAGUGACGGUACCUUAGGAAUAAGCCUCGGCUAACUACGUGCCAGCAGCCGCGGUAAUACGUAGGAGGCAAGCGUUAUCCGGAAUGACUGGGCGUAAAGGGUGCGUAGGUGGUUUGACAAGGUGGUAGCGUAACUCCGGAGCUCAACUUCGGAACUAGUACCAAAACUGUUGGACUCUAGUGCAGGGUGGGCAACUGGAAUUUCUAGUUUUACGGGGGAAUUCGUAGAUAUU
Molecule: ribosomal RNA, 346 nt
Filed under: uncultured bacterium
Lineage: Bacteria
Description: partial 16S ribosomal RNA
Rfam family: Bacterial small subunit ribosomal RNA
Source: RNAcentral